This 231-nucleotide long non-coding RNA is filed under the name Hordeum vulgare. RNAcentral's name for it is "long non-coding RNA (HVUL_LNC015831)". Lineage: Eukaryota; Viridiplantae; Streptophyta; Magnoliopsida; Poales; Poaceae. The record is from RNAcentral.
CUUCUUUCUCCUUCUCCUUCUCCUUCUUCUUUUCUUGUUCUUCUCCUCUUCCUUCUCCUUCUCCUCCUCCUCCUCCUCCUUCUCCUUCUUUUACUUCUUCUUCUCUUUCUCUUCUUCUACGUAGCUUAGACUCAUCCAAGAAAUCCUAAAUUGGCUAAUUACCAUCUAAAUGAAAUAAUUAGCUUAGUUAGCUCCAAAAUGACCUAUUUAAUAAAAAAUGACCUAACUUAG